UGGGAGUGGGGAACUUAGGGCUUGAUAUAAAAGAGAGAAUGGGUAGCCAUUGAGAGGGUUCAUUUGGAAGCUGGUUAUAAUGAGAAUUAGAGAUGUAAAGGAAAAGAUAUUAGGAACUAAUUUUGUUUUUUAUUAUUUUUGGAAUUUUUUUUAUUUAUUUCUAGUCUUGAAUUGUUUUAAAAGCACAUUUGAACCAUUUUGUUUAAUUAGAUUAAUGCAAUUUCCGAUUUGAUUUAAAUAUUUAAAUGUUCAAUUCCCU
RNAcentral lists this long non-coding RNA (259 nucleotides) under Vitis vinifera (wine grape). Its description in RNAcentral is "long non-coding RNA (VVIN_LNC003945)". The record is from RNAcentral. Lineage: Eukaryota; Viridiplantae; Streptophyta; Magnoliopsida; Vitales; Vitaceae.